CUGGCCCCUGCAGGCAAACAUGGCCUCUGUGAUGCAUACCUCCUGUUCAGGGCAAGCCAUGCAGACUCUGCCAUGAACUCACCUGAGGCAGGUCCCUGGUACUGUAGGUCCUAGGAAAAGGCUGGGUUUGAGAGAGGGGCGAGCCUUGGCAAACCCAAGCUGGUACCCAAGGCUUAGAAAACGAAGUACAGAGCAAAAAGGCUGCUGCUUUUGGAAACUGAACAACAUCCAAAGGAAACCCCAUGACCUUGAGGCGCUUGCUGAAUAAAGCUGAUGAGGCUGCUGAAGCCAGGGAGGCAGAGGAAGGAAAUACCAGGAGGCUGGAGCAGAUAAAAAUCCCCCCUGUGGAAGAAGAGUCCCCCGUGUGUAAAAUGGAGGCAGUGACUACUUCUAGAAUAACAGACAUGGACUACAGCUUGGAUCAUUUAGCCAGCAAAGGUCUAAGGACAGGAUACUUUGGAAAAGAAGUUCUGCUUUUGUUUCCACGGAAGAUGAAAAGCUGUGGAUUCCUUCCAAACUAAUAAGGUUUGAUCAAGCAAGACCCCCUGAAGCAGUGACCCAGGUGAUCCAACAUCCAAAACAGCUGAGACCAUGCAGCCUCACAGACCACUACAGCCAGGAUUUUUCCAUGGCUCUAAGUUCUCUGAGGAUCCCCUUGGGAUUGACAGUGCCCACAAACAGCAGUUUGGAAAGAACUAUGCCCAUAUUCCCAAAUAUUGUCUGUUUGUUUUCAUUUAAACAGGGUUAUAAAUAGUUAAUGAUUACAGUCAAUCUCUUUCCAAAGAAGGGAAAUAUAAUAUAGAAGUGAAUAAAUUGGUAUGGAUUUUGGUUUAUUGAU
RNAcentral lists this long non-coding RNA (838 nucleotides) under Cricetulus griseus (Chinese hamster). Its description in RNAcentral is "lncRNA (ENSCGRG00015040541.1)". The record is from RNAcentral. Lineage: Eukaryota; Metazoa; Chordata; Mammalia; Rodentia; Cricetidae.